RNAcentral lists this transfer RNA (64 nucleotides) under Dilophus febrilis. RNAcentral's name for it is "tRNA-Cys". It matches the Rfam family "tRNA". From Rfam's summary of the family: Transfer RNA (tRNA) molecules are approximately 80 nucleotides in length. The record is from RNAcentral. Lineage: Eukaryota; Metazoa; Arthropoda; Insecta; Diptera; Bibionidae.
AGCUUUAUAGUCAAAAAAAUGAUAUUAGAUUGCAAAUCUAGAGGUAUAAUUAUUAUUAAAGCUU